UGUGUGUUUUAAUGAUGCCAUAUCCUCCAUGGCAGGCGCUGUGUCGUCCGGGGAGCUUUUGGCGGGAGCCAGGCACGGAUUAAAGGCUACAAGAGAGGAAUGCCCGCCACAUGACCACCAGGAUGUCUGCACUCCUUGAUCUCAGAGAUCUCUGGGCAGGGCCGUCCAAAGGGUGAUGGAUACUGCAGGACCAGCCUGGUGCGUGUCUCCUGACCCCUCUUGAAGCCACAGGUUCUCCCAGAGCGAGAGCAGGGGCUCCACUCACUCCACUCACCCACCUCACAGUGCACUGUCAGGAGGUAGUUUAAGGUGCAGCCCUGGUUGAGUUUCAGGCCGAGGUCAUUGUCCCGGGACAGGUGAAGAGACAGAUGAACGAGUGGACGACAGGAGCAUUCAGCGCCUGUUUGCUCCCACAAUGAGCUCCCUCUGCCUGGCUAAAUGUGCCUAUGUGAGGGACAGAGGAGUAGUAACCCCAUAGAAAAACAUACCUGCAUCGAUGACCCCGCUGACCUUGUA
Molecule: long non-coding RNA, 516 nt
Organism: Periophthalmus magnuspinnatus
Lineage: Eukaryota; Metazoa; Chordata; Actinopteri; Gobiiformes; Gobiidae
Exons: 3
Source: RefSeq, a predicted model, not a curated record